Molecule: long non-coding RNA, 3417 nt
Organism: Oncorhynchus mykiss (rainbow trout)
Lineage: Eukaryota; Metazoa; Chordata; Actinopteri; Salmoniformes; Salmonidae
Source: Ensembl
CGUGGACUCUACAGCAUCCUCAAUGGGCUCUACAACAUCCUCAAUGGGCUCUACAACAUCCUCAAUGGGCUCUACAACAUCCUCAAUGGGCUCUACAACAUCCUCAAUGGGCUCUACAACAUCCUCAAUGGGCUCUACAACAUCCUCAAUGGGCUCUACAACAUCCUCAAUGGGCUCUACAACAUCCUCAAUGGGCUCUACAACAUCCUCAAUGGACUCUACAACAUCCUCAAUGAACUCUACAACAUCCUCAAUGAACUCUACAACAUCCUCAAUGAACUCUACAACAUCCUCAAUGAACUCUACAACAUCCUCAAUGAACUCUACAACAUCCUCAAUGAACUCUACAACAUCCUCAAUGGACUCUACAGCAUCCUCAAUGGACUCUACAGCAUCCUCAAUGGACUCUACAGCAUCCUCAAUGGACUCUACAGCAUCCUCAAUGAACUCUACAACAUCCUCAAUGAACUCUACAACAUCCUCAAUGAACUCUACAACAUCCUCAAUGAACUCUACAACAUCCUCAAUGGGCUCUACAACAUCCUCAAUGAACUCUACAACAGCCUUAAUGGGCUCUACAGCAUCCUCAAUGAACUCUACAACAUCCUCAAUGAACUCUACAACAUCCUCAAUGGGUUCUACAACAGCCUCAAUGGGCUCUACAACAGCCUCAAUGAACUCUACAACAGCCUCAAUGGGCUCUACAACAUCCUCAAUGGGCUCUACAACAGUCUCAAUGGGCUCUACAGCAUCCUCAAUGGGCUCUACAACAUCCUCAAUGGGCUCUACAACAUCCUCAAUGGGCUCUACAACAGUCUCAAUGGGCUCUACAACAUCCUCAAUGGGCUCUACAACAGCCUCAAUGGGCUCUACAACAGUCUCAAUGGGCUCUACAACAGCCUCAAUGAACUCUACAACAGCCUCAAUGGGCUCUACAACAGCCUGAAUGGGCUCUACAACAGCCUGAAUGGGCUCUACAACAUCCUCAAUGGGCUCUACAACAGCCUCAAUGGGCUCUACAACAGCCUCAAUGGGCUCUACAACAGCCUCAAUGAACUCUACAACAGCCUCAAUUGGCUCUACAACAGCCUAAAUGAACUCUACAACAGCCUCAAUGGGCUCUACAGCAUCCUCAGUGAACUCUACAACAGCCUCAAUGGGCUCUACAACAUCCUCAAUGAACUCUACAACAGCCUCAAUGGGCUCUACAACAUCCUCAAUGAACUCUACAGCAUCCUCAAUGGGCUCUACAACAUCCUCAAUGGGCUCUACAACAGCCUCAAUGGGCUCUACAACAGCCUCAAUGGGCUCUACAACAGCCUCAAUGGGCUCUACAACAUCCUCAAUGGACUCUACAGCAUCCUCAAUGGACUCUACAGCAUCCUCAAUGGGCUCAACAGCAUCCUCAAUGGGCUCUACAACAUCCUCAAUGGGCUCUACAACAUCCUCAAUGGGCUCUACAACAUCCUCAAUGGACUCUACAGCAUCCUCAAUGGACUCUACAGCAUCCUCAAUGGACUCUACAGCAUCCUCAAUGAACUCUACAACAUCCUCAAUGAACUCUACAACAUCCUCAAUGAACUCUACAACAUCCUCAAUGAACUCUACAACAUCCUCAAUGGGCUCUACAACAUCCUCAAUGAACUCUAUAACAGCCUUAAUGGGCUCUACAACAGCCUCAAUGAACUCUACAGCAUCCUCAAUGAACUCUACAACAUCCUCAAUGAACUCUACAACAUCCUCAAUGGGCUCUACAGCAUCCUCAAUGAACUCUACAACAUCCUCAAUGGGCUCUACAGCAUCCUCAAUGAACUCUACAACAUCCUCAAUGAACUCUACAACAUCCUCAAUGGGCUCUACAACAGCCUCAAUGGGCUCUACAACAGCCUCAAUGAACUCUACAACAGCCUCAAUGGGCUCUACAACAUCCUCAAUGGGCUCUACAACAGUCUCAAUGGGCUCUACAGCAUCCUCAAUGGGCUCUACAACAUCCUCAAUGGGCUCUACAACAUCCUCAAUGGGCUCUACAACAGUCUCAAUGGGCUCUACAACAUCCUCAAUGGGCUCUACAACAGCCUCAAUGGGCUCUACAACAGUCUCAAUGGGCUCUACAACAGCCUCAAUGAACUCUACAACAGCCUCAAUGGGCUCUACAACAGCCUGAAUGGGCUCUACAACAGCCUGAAUGGGCUCUACAACAUCCUCAAUGGGCUCUACAACAGCCUCAAUGGGCUCUACAACAGCCUCAAUGGGCUCUACAACAGCCUCAAUGGGCUCUACAACAUCCUCAAUGAACUCUACAACAUCCUCAAUGGGCUCUACAGCAUCCUCAAUGGGCUCUACAACAUCCUCAAUGGGCUCUACAACAGCCUCAAUGGGCUCUACAACAGUCUCAAUGGGCUCUACAACAUCCUCAAUGGGCUCUACAACAGCCUCAAUGGGCUCUACAACAGUCUCAAUGGGCUCUACAACAGCCUCAAUGAACUCUACAACAGCCUCAAUGGGCUCUACAACAGCCUGAAUGGGCUCUACAACAGCCUGAAUGGGCUCUACAACAUCCUCAAUGGGCUCUACAACAGCCUGAAUGGGCUCUACAACAGCCUGAAUGGGCUCUACAACAUCCUCAAUGGGCUCUACAACAGCCUCAAUGGGCUCUACAACAGCCUCAAUGGGCUCUACAACAGCCUCAAUGAACUCUACAACAGCCUCAAUUGGCUCUACAACAGCCUAAAUGAACUCUACAACAGCCUCAAUGGGCUCUACAGCAUCCUCAGUGAACUCUACAACAGCCUCAAUGGGCUCUACAACAUCCUCAAUGAACUCUACAACAGCCUCAAUGGGCUCUACAACAUCCUCAAUGAACUCUACAGCAUCCUCAAUGGGCUCUACAACAUCCUCAAUGGGCUCUACAACAGCCUCAAUGGGCUCUACAACAGCCUCAAUGGGCUCUACAACAUCCUCAAUGGACUCUACAGCAUCCUCAAUGGACUCUACAGCAUCCUCAAUGGACUCUACAGCAUCCUCAAUGGGCUCUACAGCAUCCUCAAUGGGCUCUACAACAGCCUCAAUGGACUCUACAACCGCCUCAAUGGACUCUACAGCAUCCUCAAUGAACUCUAUAACAGCCUCAAUGGGCUCUACAACAUCCUCAAUGGGCUCUACAACAGCCUCAAUGGACUCUACAACAGCCUCAAUGGGCUCUACAACUGCCUCAAUGGGCUCUACAACAGCCUCAAUGGGCUCUACAACAUCCUCAAUGGGCUCUACAACAGCCUCAAUGGGCUCUACAACAGCUUCAAUGGGCUCUACAACAUCCUCAAUGGGCUCUACAACAGCCUCAAUGAACUCUACAACAGCCUCAAUGAACUCUACAACAUCCUCAAUGAACUCUACAACAGCCUGAAUGGGCUCGAGUGA